RNAcentral lists this ribosomal RNA (643 nucleotides) under Entoloma murrayi. Its description in RNAcentral is "eukaryotic LSU rRNA". The stretch from base 239 to 392 matches the Rfam family "5.8S ribosomal RNA". Lineage: Eukaryota; Fungi; Basidiomycota; Agaricomycetes; Agaricales; Entolomataceae. The record is from RNAcentral.
AUUGUUGCUGGCUCUUUAGAAGCAUGUGCACAUUCAAUUCAAUUUUUUGAACCCCAUGUGCACUUUUUGUAGAUUUGAAACCAUUCAAACAUUUUCUAUUUGAAAUUUGUCUUGGUUUUUGAGAACUGCUUUACAUUUUGUGAGCUUUUCUUGUCUUUCAUAUCUACACUUUCAAAMCAUCCUCCAAAUGUAAUAGAAUGACAUGUAUUAGGCUACUUUGCCUUUAAAUUAUUAAAACAACUUUCAACAACGGAUCUCUUGGCUCUCGCAUCGAUGAAGAACGCAGCGAAAUGCGAUAAGUAAUGUGAAUUGCAGAAUUCAGUGAAUCAUCGAAUCUUUGAACGCACCUUGCACUUCUUGGUAUUCCGAGAAGUAUGCCUGUUUGAGUGUCAUGAAAUUUUCAAUUUUCAUGGUUUUUUCUUUAAAACUAAUGAAGACUGGAUAAUUGAGAGUUGCUAAAUUUGUUUUAAAGUUAGCUCUCUUCAAAAAUAUUAGCAGAGUCAUUACUGAUUUAUCAAUGGUAUAAUAAAUAAUCUAUACUAUUGAAAUCAGAUAACAAUGGCUUUGCUUAUAAUUGUCUUUCCAAGACACCUGACUUAUUUGACCUCAAAUCAGGUAGGAUUACCCGCUGAACUUAAGCAUA